This 200-nucleotide ribosomal RNA is filed under the name uncultured bacterium. RNAcentral describes it as "partial 16S ribosomal RNA". It matches the Rfam family "Bacterial small subunit ribosomal RNA", at positions 28 to 231 of the family's 1533-position model. The record is from RNAcentral.
GAUGAACGCUAGCGGCAGGCCUAACACAUGCAAGUCGAGGGGUAGAAGUCUUCGGGCUUUGAGACCGGCGCACGGGUGCGUAACGCGUAUGCAAUCUGCCUUACACUAAGGGAUAGCCCAGAGAAAUUUGGAUUAAUACCUUAUAGUAUAUUGAUGUGGCAUCACAUUAUUAUUAAAGAUUUAUUGGUGUAAGAUGAGCA